AUUGAACGCUGGCGGCAGGCUUAACACAUGCAAGUCGAGCGAGCGGCGGACGGGUGUGUCAUGUCUGGGAACCUGCCUGAUGGAGGGGGUUAACUACUGGAAACGGUAGCUAAUACCGCAUACCUUCCGAUGAACCCAUAUGGGAUUGGCUUGUAGGUGAGGUAACGGCUCACCUAGGCGACGAUCCCUAGCUGGUCUGAGAGGAUGAUCAGCCACACUGGAACUGAGACACGGCCCAGACUCCUACGGGAGGCAGCAGUGGGGAAUAUUGCGCAAUGGGCGAAAGCCUGAUGCAGCCACGCCGCGUGUGUGAAGAAGGCCUUCGGGUUGUAAAGUACUUUCAGUCGGGAGGCGUUACCGACAGAAGAAGCACCGGCUAACUCCGUGCCAGCAGCCGCGGUAAUAC
Molecule: ribosomal RNA, 406 nt
Filed under: uncultured bacterium
Lineage: Bacteria
Description: partial 16S ribosomal RNA
Rfam family: Bacterial small subunit ribosomal RNA
Source: RNAcentral